GACGUAGGGCGCGAGCGUUGUCCGGAUUUAUUGGGCGUAAAGAGCUCGUAGGCGGCUUGUCGCGUCGACUGUGAAAACCCGCGGCUCAACCCCGGGCCUGCAGUGGGUACGGGCAGACUAGAGUGCGGUAGGGGAGACUGGAAUUCCUGGUGUAGCGGUGAAAUGCGCAGAUAUCAGGAGGAACACCGGUGGCGAAGGCGGCAUCCUGGACCAACACUGACGCUGAUGAGCGAAAGCCAGGGGAGCAAACGGG
This 253-nucleotide ribosomal RNA is filed under the name uncultured bacterium. Its description in RNAcentral is "partial 16S ribosomal RNA". It matches the Rfam family "Bacterial small subunit ribosomal RNA", at positions 524 to 776 of the family's 1533-position model. The record is from RNAcentral.